RNAcentral lists this ribosomal RNA (253 nucleotides) under uncultured bacterium. RNAcentral describes it as "partial 16S ribosomal RNA". It matches the Rfam family "Bacterial small subunit ribosomal RNA", at positions 524 to 776 of the family's 1533-position model. The record is from RNAcentral.
UACGGAGGGUGCAAGCGUUAUCCGGAUUUACUGGGUUUAAAGGGUGCGUAGGUGGGUUGGUAAGUCAGUGGUGAAAUACUUUCGCUUAACGAAGGAACUGCCAUUGAUACUACCAGUCUUGAAUACAGUGGAGGUAGGCGGAAUGCGUCAUGUAGCGGUGAAAUGCUUAGAUAUCACUUGGAACGCCAAAGGUGAAGACAGUCUGCUGGGGACUUGCUGACGCUGAGACACGAAAGCCAGGGGAGCGAACGGG